This 420-nucleotide ribosomal RNA is filed under the name bacterium. RNAcentral's name for it is "partial 16S ribosomal RNA". It matches the Rfam family "Bacterial small subunit ribosomal RNA", at positions 355 to 776 of the family's 1533-position model. The record is from RNAcentral.
UGGGGGAUAUUGCACAAUGGGCGAAAGCCUGAUGCAGCGACGCCGCGUGGGGGAUGAAGGCUUUCGGGUUGUAAACCUCUUUCGCUAUCGAACAAGGCCCGCUUAGGGUGGGUUGAGGGUAGGUGGAGAAGAAGCGCCGGCUAACUACGUGCCAGCAGCCGCGGUAAUACGUAGGGCGCGAGCGUUGUCCGGAAUUAUUGGGCGUAAAGGGCUUGUAGGCGGCUUGUUGCGCCUGCUGUGAAAACGCGGGGCUUAACUUCGCGCGUGCAGUGGGUACGGGCAGGCUUGAGUGUGGUAGGGGUGACUGGAAUUCCAGGUGUAGCGGUGGAAUGCGCAGAUAUCUGGAGGAACACCGAUGGCGAAGGCAGGUCACUGGGCUAUUACUGACGCUGAGGAGCGAAAGCAUGGGUAGCGAACAGG